Molecule: ribosomal RNA, 301 nt
Filed under: uncultured bacterium
Lineage: Bacteria
Description: partial 16S ribosomal RNA
Rfam family: Bacterial small subunit ribosomal RNA
Source: RNAcentral
CAGUCGCCGCGGGAAUACGUAAGUGGCAAGCGUUAUCCGGAAUUAUUGGGCGUAAAGGGCGCGUAGGCGGACUGAUAAGUCAGGGGUGAAAUCCCAAGGCUCAACCUUGGAACUGCCUUUGAUACUGUUUGUCUUGAGUUCGAGAGAGGUAAGUGGAACUGCGAGUGUAGAGGUGAAAUUCGUAGAUAUUCGCAAGAACACCAGUGGCGAAGGCGGCUUACUGGCUCGAAACUGACGCUGAGGCGCGAAAGCGUGGGGAGCAAACAGGAUUAGAUACCCCAGUAGUCCCUGUCUCUUAUAC